RNAcentral lists this ribosomal RNA (346 nucleotides) under uncultured eukaryote. RNAcentral's name for it is "SSU rRNA". It matches the Rfam family "Eukaryotic small subunit ribosomal RNA", at positions 594 to 945 of the family's 1831-position model. The record is from RNAcentral.
AUAGCGUAUAUUAAAGUUGCUGCGGUUAAAAAGCUCGUAGUUGGAUCUGGGUCGUCGAUGGACGGUGCGCCGUAAGGCGCUACUGUUUGUUCGGCACCACAGCCCGGCCAUGUCUUGCAUGCUCUUCACUGAGUGUGCUUGGCGACCGGAACGUUUACUUUGAAAAAAUUAGAGUGCUCAAAGCAGGCGUUAAGCCUAUAUAAUGGUGCAUGGAAUGAUAGAAUAAGACUUUUGCCUUGUUCUGUUGGCCUUAGAGGCAGAAGUAAUGAUAAAUAGGAACAGACGGGGGCAUUCGUAUUGCGGCGUUAGAGGUGAAAUUCUUGGAUCGUCGCAAGACGCACUACUG